This 462-nucleotide ribosomal RNA is filed under the name uncultured marine eukaryote. Its description in RNAcentral is "SSU rRNA". It matches the Rfam family "Eukaryotic small subunit ribosomal RNA", at positions 22 to 548 of the family's 1831-position model. The record is from RNAcentral.
AGUCAUAUGCUUGUCUCAAAGACUAAGCCAUGCACGUCUAAGUACAAACUAAAUGAUGGUGAAACUGCAAAUGGCUCAUUACAACGGUUAUGAUGUACCCGGGAGUUCCGAUGGAUAUUUCCAGUAACACUAGAACUAAUACAUGUCCCUGCGUUUAUUAGUUUCGCACAGUCCGUCGCUGAGUCAUGGUAAACAGUUGAUCGACUCGACGUCCCGGAACAGUUUCCGCCCCAUCAGCUUCGAUGGUUGGGUAUUGGCCUACCAUUGCAACAACGGGUAACGAGGAAUUAGGGUUUGAUUUCGGAGAGGGAGCCUGAGAAACGGCUACCACAUCUACGGAUGGCAGCAGGCGCGCAAAUUACCCAAUGCAGACACUGUGAGGUAGUGACGAGAAAUAAUAAAGCGGGACUUCUGUUUCGCUAUUAUAAUGAGGAAUAACCAAAGGUCAUUCCGAUUAGCAAC